Molecule: long non-coding RNA, 2122 nt
Organism: Pungitius pungitius (ninespine stickleback)
Lineage: Eukaryota; Metazoa; Chordata; Actinopteri; Perciformes; Gasterosteidae
Exons: 8
Source: RefSeq, a predicted model, not a curated record
GGGAACGGUGCCGGCAGGUAAGGUAAGGUAGCACAACUGGGCAACAUCAUGACUGAUUUUCUCCCCUUAAAACAGUGAGCAGGACUCGGAUGGGGGAGAGAGACUGAAGCAGGUCCUCAGGGGCAAGGGAGCAGACAUUAGGAAAAUAUUUGUGUUAUUGUAGCUAACAAUGGUUUACAGAGCUGAUUGUUUUUAUAUGGGGCAAUUUGGAAUAAGUGAAUAUGGGAUAAAGUGGCAUAUAUCUAUUUAUAAUAGUAGCCAAUUAAAUGCAAUCACCAGGUUUUCUUUUUCUGUUAAUCCUUGCUUCUACUGUGCAGCUAUUUAAAACUUUAACGUAGACCAUUACCCUUUACCCCGUCAAUGAGCCAUGUAGGUGGAGGAGGUUUGGAGGAAUACAGAGUUCACUGUGCCGUCUCAUGGGGAAUCUAAAAAGGGAGCCACAGAGGAUAUCCAAGUGGUAGCAUGCAGUACACACACAGUCUUUAAAGCACACUAGUAGUGUUUCAGUACUAAUGUGUAUGUUAUUUUUGUUUUACUCGAAAGGUACUCUUGGAUGACGGCAUCAUAAAUGUAGGCACGUUGUCAUCUUCUCGCUACGUAGCUCCCGUCAAGUACAGGGUGCACAAAUGGCUGAGACAGCUGACCCUCUUCAACCAAACCCUGGAUGAGUGGCUUACAUGACAAAGAAACUGGCUUUAUCUACAGAGUAUAUUUUGUGGCCCCAGACAUCAAAAGGCAGCUUCCUGCUGAGUCCAAAAUGUUUCAAAAGGUGGACAAAUCAUGGAAGGAGAUAAUGGCAAGGGCCAAUACGAGGCCUAAUGCCCUUGAAGCAGCCACACAGCCCGAUCUGUUUGAGACUUUUCAAAAACACAACACUCUUCUGGAUGAGAUACAGAAGUGUGGAAGACUACCUGGAGUCCAAGAGAGUCAUUUUUCCCAGCUCCUCUAUCCUCACAGGUUCAUCUUAUCUAAUGACGAGCUGCUGAAGAUCUUGGCCCAGACAAGAAACCCCCAAGCAGUGCAGCCCCACCUUCGGAAGUGUUUUGAUGCCAUCACCCGACUAGAGUUUGCUUUGCUACCCAAAUCUUCUGGGACCAAGACAUCCUGUACAUGGUUUCCCCUGAUCGAGAGAAGGUGGCUUCGACUAAAGGUCUUAAGGUACAAGGCACUGUGGAGGAUUGGCCUUGCAAGGUGGAGGAGGCUAUGUUCAACUCGUUGCGCUCCCUCAGUAAGGCAGCCAUCGCUGACUACCAGGUGAAGUCUAGAGAGGGAUGGAUGCUGGCCGGACAUCCAUCGCAGGUGGUGCUGACCAUCUCACGGUUGAUGUGGUACAAAGAGAUGGACGCUUGGCUGGAUGGAGACCACGACCACUUAGCUGCCUCGCAGGAAUUCGAACUAACUAACUAACUUUGAUAGGGUGAAUGCCUUGGCGGCAUUGAUUCGUAAUAUCAUCACUUAGGCCCAUCAUAAUCAUAUAAGCCCUUAUCACCAUCGAUGUCCAUGCCAGAGAUAAAGUCACAGAUGUAGUCCGCCAGAAGGUGGACAACAGGGAUAACUUUGAAUGGCAGACGCAGUUGCGCUACUAUUGGGACCUGGACCAGGACAACUGUGUUGCCAAAAUGGCCCUGUCCACUUCCAUUUACGGCAAUGAAUAUCUGGGAGCCUGUCCUAGACUGGUUUUAACACAUCUUAUGGUAACACAUGAAUACACAUUCAUUCUCUGGCACACCUGUCUUGUACUGUACUAACAUUAGUUAUAAAUAUGUACAACACAAACUCUUUUAUGCAUAAUGUUGGAUACAACUACACUGAAGUCACACAUUUCUUAUCCUCAGUUUCAAAAGCCUUCAUCAUUUUACCUCAUUCCGAUUGUUUGUGAACCUGCAAACACACAAACAACCAAGCCACAAGCUACAAAACCACUAGAUGGAGCUAAUAGUGUGACCUAUACAAUGUGUGUCCAAUAGUAGUUAGAAAGCAGUGAGAAAUGACAACGGGACACACAAAUGCUGCAUAUUGUUUGUCACAAUUACUCGAUUUGCCUUCUAUUGCUCACCCUGCCCAGGAACUUUGCUAUUUGUGCCUGAUGGGGGCUCUCCAAUUCGACCUUGGAGGAGCACUA